RNAcentral lists this ribosomal RNA (322 nucleotides) under Penicillium sp. RNAcentral's name for it is "partial large subunit ribosomal RNA". The record is from RNAcentral. Lineage: Eukaryota; Fungi; Ascomycota; Eurotiomycetes; Eurotiales; Aspergillaceae.
UAGACCGAUAGCGAACAAGUAGAGUGAUCGAAAGAUGAAAAGCACUUUGAAAAGAGAGUUAAAAAGCACGUGAAAUUGUUGAAAGGGAAGCGCUUGCGACCAGACUCGCCUACGGGGUUCAGCCGGUAUUCGUACCGGUGUACUUCCCCGUGGGCGGGCCAGCGUCGGUUUGGGCGGCCGGUCAAAGGCCCUCGGAAUGUAACGCCUCUCGGGGCGUCUUAUAGCCGAGGGUGCCAUGCGGCCAGCCCGGACCGAGGAACGCGCUUCGGCACGGACGCUGGCAUAAUGGUCGUAAGCGACCCGUCUUGAAACACKGACCAAG